This 406-nucleotide ribosomal RNA is filed under the name uncultured bacterium. RNAcentral describes it as "bacterial SSU rRNA". It matches the Rfam family "Bacterial small subunit ribosomal RNA", at positions 400 to 793 of the family's 1533-position model. The record is from RNAcentral.
CGUGUAUGAAGAAGGCCUUCGGGUUGUAAAGUACUUCUAGACAGUGAGGAAGGUGGGUAUGGUUAAUAGCAUACUCAUUUGACGUUAGCUGCAGAAGAAGCACCGGCUAACUCCGUGCCAGCAGCCGCGGUAAUACGGAGGGUGCGAGCGUUAAUCGGAAUUACUGGGCGUAAAGCGCAUGCAGGUGGUUUGUUAAGUCAGAUGUGAAAGACCCGGGGCUCAACCUCGGAAUUGCAUUUUGAAAACUGGCAAACUAGAGUACUGUAGAGGGGGGUAGAAUUUCAGGUGUAGCGGUGAAAUGCGUAGAGAUCUGAAGGAAUACCGGUGGCGAAGGCGGCCCCCUGGACAGAUACUGACACUCAGAUGCGAAAGCGUGGGGAGCAAACAGGAUUAGAUACCCUGGUAG